This 1532-nucleotide long non-coding RNA is filed under the name Sus scrofa (pig). RNAcentral describes it as "lncRNA (ENSSSCG00000040277.3)". Lineage: Eukaryota; Metazoa; Chordata; Mammalia; Artiodactyla; Suidae. The record is from RNAcentral.
GGGCCAAGCCUCCUUGCCUGUCCGCUUGUACCUCUCACAAGCGUCCUAUCCUAACAAAUCUCUUUCUUGCCUAUUACUUUGCCUCACUGAAUUCCUUCUGUGAUGAGACACAAAGAACCUGAGCCUCAGGAAGUGCAGACACCAGAGGAUGGAACUGGUUCCAAAGCAAGGACCUCCCUGGAAUGAGAGAUCAACUAGGUGUGAAAAAGCAUCCCAAAGCCUCUGGACUCACUGCCAAUGCAAUUAGCUGCUACAAAAUUUGGGUAGGGAGUGUCGUGUUUCUGGAAGUGUCCAGAGGGAGCUUGGAUGAGCAAUUCUUGGAAAGAUUUUUAAAGCUUGCCCCAAGAACUUGCUGGACUCUCAUGCCAUACGAGAGACCCUCAAAGGACACUGGAUAUUUACCUUGAAGAAAAGAAAACUCUGCUGGGAGAGAGGGGUGGUUAAGAAACACUAACCCAUUUGAUAAUUUUGUGAGUACAGGGGAGCUGAGCUAUUGCUGUGUAUUCCUAUGGAGAAAUAAAUAGUAAUAGAAAUUACCGAAGCACAUUCUAAUGGAAAGGGCUAGCCAGAUAGAGAAUAUGCCUCUGAAGAGGUAAUGAGGUUGAAGUGACUAUUGUAACUUUCUGGAAAUGAACUAGAUGUUGUGUAGUAAAUAGGGGGAAGUAGGUCAAUUCGAUCCAUUAGAUUUUAUAAAAUUAUAUGAUGCAGAAGCAAAGAGAGAGCUAUUGAAUUUUAGCUGCUAUUAUGGAAGGCUAGGACUGGACUACAAUGAUUGACCCACAAUCACAGUAAUUGUUCAGGUGGACUUUGUAAAUGAGCUGAAAUCAUUCUUUUGAAAAUAACUCUUCAAAGUGAGAAGAUUUCUCCAAUCCACAUUUUCUAGUCUGCUUGGCUGUCCCCUCUGGGCUCAGUCAAAGAAACCCAUGCAGUGGAAGUAUGUUUAGCAAUUGGGCCUGUUCCCAGGUUGCGAGACAUUUAGCAAAAAUCCAGAGUUAUUAUUAGAUCUAAAUGGAGGCUUUUGUCAAAAGGCCUCUUGAACUGUUAGGAAAUCAGAGUGCAAAUUGAUAAUGACACACAACACAUCCCUGCCCUGGCAGCUCCCCGAAGGCUGCUGAGAUACCCCAGAAAGAACUUGCAUGGCCUCAUGCCAACAGCGUGUUGCUCAACCCUCGUCCUUCUCCUAAGUCGGCUUGACAACUGCAUUCUUCUCUUCCUUGUAAGAGGCAGAAGGAGAUGGAUUAAAGAGGAUGUUUGAACUGAGACUAUUAAUUUCCUUGCAGUGUGUAUUCAAGUCAGAUCCCUUUAGAAGAGCCUUUUGUGGUUUCAUAAAAUUACAACUUUGGCUAUUCGGCUGCCUUUUCCAAAGUACAAAUUUGGCUUCUAAAGAAAACACACUUCAUAGGAAAAAAGGAAAGAAAUGAGUACGUAGUUAUCUUUAAAUAUAUUCAUUUUAUAUAAUCGUUCUGUUACGCAAAGAAACAAUUACAGUAUUAACUACUUAUUAAUAAAAGAAAUCAUAAAACAUAGUGUCU